UACGUAGGUGGCGAGCGUUGUCCGGAAUUAUUGGGCGUAAAGGGCGCGUAGGCGGUCUUUUAAGUCAGAUGUGAAAACGUGGGGCUCAACUUCACGAUUGCAUUUGAAACUGGAGGACUUGAGGACAGGAGAGAAAAGUGGAAUUCCCAGUGUAGCGGUGAAAUGCGUAGAUAUUGGGAGGAACACCAGUGGCGAAGGCGACUUUCUGGACUGCACCUGACGCUGAGGCGCGAAAGCUAGGGGAG
RNAcentral lists this ribosomal RNA (245 nucleotides) under uncultured bacterium. RNAcentral's name for it is "partial 16S ribosomal RNA". It matches the Rfam family "Bacterial small subunit ribosomal RNA", at positions 524 to 768 of the family's 1533-position model. The record is from RNAcentral.